Molecule: ribosomal RNA, 2034 nt
Filed under: Klebsiella pneumoniae UCI 20
Lineage: Bacteria; Pseudomonadati; Pseudomonadota; Gammaproteobacteria; Enterobacterales; Enterobacteriaceae
Description: bacterial LSU rRNA
Rfam family: Bacterial large subunit ribosomal RNA
Source: RNAcentral
UUCGGCUAGGGGGUCAUCCCGACUUACCAACCCGAUGCAAACUACGAAUACCGAAGAAUGUUAUCACGGGAGACACACGGCGGGUGCUAACGUCCGUCGUGAAGAGGGAAACAACCCAGACCGCCAGCUAAGGUCCCAAAGUCAUGGUUAAGUGGGAAACGAUGUGGGAAGGCACAGACAGCCAGGAUGUUGGCUUAGAAGCAGCCAUCAUUUAAAGAAAGCGUAAUAGCUCACUGGUCGAGUCGGCCUGCGCGGAAGAUGUAACGGGGCUAAACCAUGCACCGAAGCUGCGGCAGCGACACUAUGUGUUGUUGGGUAGGGGAGCGUUCUGUAAGCCUGCGAAGGUGACCUGUGAGGGUUGCUGGAGGUAUCAGAAGUGCGAAUGCUGACAUAAGUAACGAUAAAGCGGGUGAAAAGCCCGCUCGCCGGAAGACCAAGGGUUCCUGUCCAACGUUAAUCGGGGCAGGGUGAGUCGACCCCUAAGGCGAGGCCGAAAGGCGUAGUCGAUGGGAAACAGGUUAAUAUUCCUGUACUUGGUGUUACUGCGAAGGGGGGACGGAGAAGGCUAUGUUAGCCGGGCGACGGUUGUCCCGGUUUAAGCAUGUAGGCUGGUUGUCCAGGCAAAUCCGGAUAAUCAAGGCUGAGGUGUGAUGACGAGGCACUACGGUGCUGAAGUAACAAAUGCCCUGCUUCCAGGAAAAGCCUCUAAGCAUCAGGUAACAUCAAAUCGUACCCCAAACCGACACAGGUGGUCAGGUAGAGAAUACCAAGGCGCUUGAGAGAACUCGGGUGAAGGAACUAGGCAAAAUGGUGCCGUAACUUCGGGAGAAGGCACGCUGGUGUGUAGGUGAAGUCCCUGCGGAUGGAGCUGAGACCAGUCGAAGAUACCAGCUGGCUGCAACUGUUUAUUAAAAACACAGCACUGUGCAAACACGAAAGUGGACGUAUACGGUGUGACGCCUGCCCGGUGCCGGAAGGUUAAUUGAUGGGGUUAUCCGUAAGGAGAAGCUCUUGAUCGAAGCCCCGGUAAACGGCGGCCGUAACUAUAACGGUCCUAAGGUAGCGAAAUUCCUUGUCGGGUAAGUUCCGACCUGCACGAAUGGCGUAAUGAUGGCCAGGCUGUCUCCACCCGAGACUCAGUGAAAUUGAACUCGCUGUGAAGAUGCAGUGUACCCGCGGCAAGACGGAAAGACCCCGUGAACCUUUACUAUAGCUUGACACUGAACAUUGAGCCUUGAUGUGUAGGAUAGGUGGGAGGCUUUGAAGCGUGGACGCCAGUCUGCGUGGAGCCAACCUUGAAAUACCACCCUUUAAUGUUUGAUGUUCUAACGUUGGCCCCUUAUCGGGGUUGCGGACAGUGUCUGGUGGGUAGUUUGACUGGGGCGGUCUCCUCCCAAAGCGUAACGGAGGAGCACGAAGGUUAGCUAAUCCUGGUCGGACAUCAGGAGGUUAGUGCAAUGGCAUAAGCUAGCUUGACUGCGAGCGUGACGGCGCGAGCAGGUGCGAAAGCAGGUCAUAGUGAUCCGGUGGUUCUGAAUGGAAGGGCCAUCGCUCAACGGAUAAAAGGUACUCCGGGGAUAACAGGCUGAUACCGCCCAAGAGUUCAUAUCGACGGCGGUGUUUGGCACCUCGAUGUCGGCUCAUCACAACCUGGGGCUGAAGUAGGUCCCAAGGGUAUGGCUGUUCGCCAUUUAAAGUGGUACGCGAGCUGGGUUUAGAACGUCGUGAGACAGUUCGGUCCCUAUCUGCCGUGGGCGCUGGAGAAUUGAGGGGGGCUGCUCCUAGUACGAGAGGACCGGAGUGGACGCAUCACUGGUGUUCGGGUUGUCAUGCCAAUGGCACUGCCCGGUAGCUAAAUGCGGAAGAGAUAAGUGCUGAAAGCAUCUAAGCACGAAACUUGCCCCGAGAUGAGUUCUCCCUGAGACUUUAAGUCUCCUGAAGGAACGUUAAAGACGAUGACGUUGAUAGGCCGGGUGUGUAAGCGCAGCGAUGCGUUGAGCUAACCGGUACUAAUGAACCGUGAGGCUUAACCUU